Non-coding RNA from Podarcis lilfordi (Lilford's wall lizard), 81 nucleotides. The record is from the annotation of a GenBank genome assembly. NCBI's taxonomy places the organism in Eukaryota, Metazoa, Chordata, Lepidosauria, Squamata, Lacertidae.
GGUAUAGACAAUAGCUCAGUGGUCGAGUGUAUGCUUCGCAUACAUAAGGUCCUGGGUUCAAUCCCUGAGCACUUGCUGCCA